Molecule: ribosomal RNA, 504 nt
Filed under: uncultured bacterium
Lineage: Bacteria
Description: partial 16S ribosomal RNA
Rfam family: Bacterial small subunit ribosomal RNA
Source: RNAcentral
AUUGAACGCUGGCGGCAGGCCUAACACAUGCAAGUCGAGCGGUAGCACAGAGAGCUUGCUCUCGGGUGACGAGCGGCGGACGGGUGAGUAAUGUCUGGGAAACUGCCUGAUGGAGGGGGAUAACUACUGGAAACGGUAGCUAAUACCGCAUAACGUCGCAAGACCAAAGAGGGGGACCUUCGGGCCUCUUGCCAUCAGAUGUGCCCAGAUGGGAUUAGCUAGUAGGUGGGGUAACAGCUCACCUAGGCGACGAUCCCUAGCUGGUCUGAGAGGAUGACAAGCCACACUGGAACUGAGACACGGUCCAGACUCCUACGGGAGGCAGCAGUGGGGAAUAUUGCACAAUGGGCGCAAGCCUGAUGCAGCCAUGCCGCGUGUAUGAAGAAGGCCUUCGGGUUGUAAAGUACUUUCAGCGGGGAGGAAGGUGCUGAGGUUAAUAACCUCAGCAAUUGACGUUACCCGCAGAAGAAGCACCGGCUAACUCCGUGCCAGCCGCCGCGGUAA